This 253-nucleotide ribosomal RNA is filed under the name uncultured bacterium. RNAcentral describes it as "partial 16S ribosomal RNA". It matches the Rfam family "Bacterial small subunit ribosomal RNA", at positions 524 to 776 of the family's 1533-position model. The record is from RNAcentral.
GACAGAGGUGCCAAGCGUUAGGCGGAAUCACUGGGCUUAAAGCGUGUGUAGGCGGAUCGUUAAGUCCCUUGUGAAAUCCCACGGCUCAACCGUGGAACUGCUGGGUAUACUGGCGGUCUUGAGCCACCUAGGGGCGAGCGGAACAAGCGGUUGAGCGGUGAAAUGCGUAGAUAUCGCUUGGAACGCCAACGGUGAAAACAGCUCGCUGGGGGUGUGCUGACGCUGAGACACGAAAGCCAGGGGAGCGAACGGG